Molecule: ribosomal RNA, 112 nt
Filed under: Escherichia coli
Lineage: Bacteria; Pseudomonadati; Pseudomonadota; Gammaproteobacteria; Enterobacterales; Enterobacteriaceae
Also listed under: 2 other names
Description: partial 23S ribosomal RNA
Rfam family: Bacterial large subunit ribosomal RNA
Source: RNAcentral
GACUUAGAGUCUCCUGAAGGAACGUUGAAGACGACGACGUUGAUAGGCCGGGUGUGUAAGCGCAGCGAUGCGUUGAGCUAACCGGUACUAAUGAACCGUGAGGCUUAACCUU